ACUGUCGCACAGUGCGCCGCUCCGUGGAAGUAAACCCCCUUUUAUAACUCCCCACCAAUGAUCGACAAUCGACCAAUCACGAGAUCAUGUAAUCGAAAGGGUUUGCCAUUCGAGAAACCCUGAAUUUACGAGGGAUGAGUUCACUGAUCUGUGAUGAAGAUUUAAUGCAAUCGUUAUUGUUUAAUUAUCUCACUGAAAUAAAAUCAAGGAACUACUUUCUAUGCAUUGUACUCGUUGACGUCAGUAAUCAACACAAAAGAAUCGAUUACAGCCGAAAUAAUCAUGUCCUUAAGCCAAGAACGAAUAAGUACUAUUAUUACUUCGUAACCAAUUUGAAAUGUAUAAUAGUACUAAGAAUGGACUAAAUGCUUUAAAGUGUGUCGAAGAUUGGAUAUGAAUUUACAAGAUAAAUUCGGGGAUAACUUCGCGGGAAGAAAGCAGUGCAUUAUUCGAAUGGAGGGAAUAAGAACAAUGUUACAAAGAAGAAGAAAUGAUCGUGGAAAAAGAAGAAGAGGAAAUGGACGAGCCGGAUGGCGUGUUUCGACUGCGCACUAGCGUUAUCCGGCAAUUGCUGUUUUUUUACUCGCUUGAUUUCAAAUGAAGGGGUACCACCGGCGAACUACACAGUGAUGAAAGAUAUUCGAGCAAUAGACGUGUUUCCAAGCUGUCCCUUAGUCGGCGACACUCACGAGAAACCAUAGUUUGACUUUCAAAUCUAAGGGCGUCAUCUGCAUUUUCCUAAAUUUCAAUCAGUAUGAAAUAUUAACAAAAUAUAAUUAUGAAAUAAAAUUUGAAUAAUUCCAUUUUGUUACGUUUUUUUCAGUUAUAAAUAAAUUUGUUACACAAGACAAAUUGUUGUGCAAUAGAAAUUAAUAAAAACGACUAAAAGAAAAAAGGAUGUGAAACGUGACCACCGUCAGUAAGGCCAAGGGACCAACAUCUUUCCUUUUCAUAAGAGAAGAUUAUGUACUUUAAAAUUAAAUUGCUCAUUUUUUAUUACUCCGUAGCUCUAUAACUUUUAAAUGCUAUAAAAAUUGUAGUAUAUUUAAACAAACUUGGAUAAAAUUAUGAAAUUUCUAAUACUGAAAUAUUUUAGGGAGUUAAGUAGCUAUUUAAAGCGAUUCAGUAUGAAUGAGUCAAUGAUGAUUAUAUUAUUUGAAAACAAACCUCAUAUAGAGCGUCUAACGUUCCAUGGGAAGGUAUAUAGAUAAUUGAUAGUUAAGUAUUCAUCGGGUUGGAUUUACGUGCGCUAUAGCAUCACACAAACACGCUAGGCAUCGUCAUCCGAGUUAAAAGCGGCUCAACGUAGAGAUGCUACGUGAUUCCCUGCAACGUUAGAAAUUUCGGUGCCUUAUGAUUCGGAGAAUUUUUUUUAUAUCUAGUCCAUACAGUUCUCACGUAUAUAAAUACCGAGUAGUGGCCCGAUAUAAAUUUCACGACAAAAAAUUGCGUAAUUAACUCUUCUUAGUAAUUUCCUUUUCAUAUCAUAACGAUAGCCUUUCAUUGCUAAUUGUUAGUUAUCCAUUUGCUAUUUAUUAUUAAUCUAAUCUUCUCGGUAUAAACAAAAGACUUUCUGUAAUGAUAUUAUAUAUUUACCACAUAUUGUUUAAAUUAAAAAGCAUGUUCUAAAGAUAAUAAAAUAUUUUCGGAAACGUGAUUAGCAACAGGUUUCGGAAUUAGGUGAAGGAUUACGAAGCUUACAUACGCAUGAGGAUCAUCGCACGAGCUCGAAAGAAAAACAAAUCUGGACUCUUGCGUUAAAUGAUUCAAUAAUCAAUGAUACAGCGAGCUUUCACAGUUGCCAUAUGGUGCAUAGCAAUACUGAUCCAAGCUUCUUAUGAUCUAGAAACGAACAAUUAUGUAGUUAAGAAUCGCAAAUUCUAUUCCCAAAUCUUUUCUAAUUAUUUUCAAAAUACAUUUUAUAAAUUUAUAAUGAUAGGAAAAUUUAUAAGAAAUUCUAGCUGCACAAGGAUAAAGAUAAUUGCAGAAAGAAAUAUAAAAAUGAAUUUAUCUUCAUUAUUUUUUAGAUUCAACAUGUUAUAUUUAAAUUAAGAGGUUUCAAUUAUAUCAGGUAAAUCGAAUGACUAUCCAUCAAUGUAACUAUUAGCAGGUCAGAUAAAGACAAAAUUAUCAAGCUUUAUAUUAUUACAGCUGUAACGUAAGAUUAAAGGCUGUCGACCGCAAAAUAUUUGGCAAAGUACCACCCCCGAAGUGUGUAUUCCUUAAGCUUCAUUUAUUUUUGGAACGUCUUUACUGACACUAAAGAUGUUCCAUUUCGAUCAUAAUAUUAAUAGCAUGACUCAACAUUACAUGAAACAUAUGGACAUGCAUAAUAUUUGUGCAAAGUAUACUUUUUAACGCGAGAAUUGUAAUUAAUUUGUGAUUUAUUUGUAAAUUACCAAAAUUAAAGAUUCUCAACUUGCACCUCGCAAAUGCAUGUUUAUUUGGAGGGAAAGUAGUAGUUAGCCUUGCUAAUAAAUUUAUUAAUGAAUCAUAUAAGUAGGUCAGCAAAUGCAACAUAUACGUGCGUGAGAAGAUAGCACAUUAAUCAUAAAUUUUUAAGUCGGUUUGUGCAACUGGAAAACAAUCUUUGGUGUUUUCUUUUCUUCGUAAAAGCAGAAUUAAUUAAGCCAAAACAUUGUUUUUCAUAUUAUUUAUUGUUAAAGGAAAGAUCAUUAUUGUAAGAUGCUUACAAUUGGCAAAUUUAUUUUAUAAUUUAUACAUGACGUAUUACAUGAAAUCACAUUCAUCUCAAACUACAGUUCAGAUCGAAGAUAAUAAUGAAAAAAUAACGUAUAGAAAUAAACUAUGAAUAAUAUGA
Molecule: long non-coding RNA, 2821 nt
Organism: Bombus terrestris (buff-tailed bumblebee)
Lineage: Eukaryota; Metazoa; Arthropoda; Insecta; Hymenoptera; Apidae
Exons: 3
Source: RefSeq, a predicted model, not a curated record